UCCCUGAUGGCUCAGUGGUAAAGAAUUUGCUUGGAAUGCAGAAGACACAGGAGAUGCAGGUUCGAUUCCUGGGUAGGGAA
Bos taurus (domestic cattle) is the source of this 80-nucleotide non-coding RNA. Lineage: Eukaryota; Metazoa; Chordata; Mammalia; Artiodactyla; Bovidae. The record is from Rfam.